This 468-nucleotide ribosomal RNA is filed under the name uncultured bacterium. RNAcentral's name for it is "partial 16S ribosomal RNA". It matches the Rfam family "Bacterial small subunit ribosomal RNA", at positions 28 to 507 of the family's 1533-position model. The record is from RNAcentral.
GACGAACGCUGGCGGCGUGCUUAACACAUGCAAGUCGAACGGAAAGGCCCUGCUUUUGUGGGGUGCUCGAGUGGCGAACGGGUGAGUAACACGUGAGUAACCUGCCCUUGACUUUGGGAUAACUUCAGGAAACUGGGGCUAAUACCGGAUAGGAGCUCCUGCUGCAUGGUGGGGGUUGGAAAGUUUCGGCGGUUGGGGAUGGACUCGCGGCUUAUCAGCUUGUUGGUGGGGUAGUGGCUGACCAAGGCUUUGACGGGUAGCCGGCCUGAGAGGGUGACCGGCCUCAUUGGGACUGAGAGACGGCCCAGACUCCUACGUGAGGCAGCAGUGGGGAAUAUUGCCCAAUGGGCGGAAGCCUGAUGCGGCAACGCCGCGUGCGUGAUGACGGCCUUCGGGUUGUAAACCGCUUUCGCCUGUGACGAAGCGUGAGUGACGGUAAUGGGUAAAGAAGCACCGGCUAACUACGUG